RNAcentral lists this ribosomal RNA (99 nucleotides) under Favonigobius reichei (Indo-Pacific tropical sand goby). RNAcentral's name for it is "partial 16S rRNA". Lineage: Eukaryota; Metazoa; Chordata; Actinopteri; Gobiiformes; Gobiidae. The record is from RNAcentral.
UACCCCAACAGCUAGCCCCUCCCCCUAAACUCAACAAACCACAUUAACAACCCCAAAUAACCCAAAGCUUAAUAAGCAAACCAUUUUUCCACCAAAGUA